AGAGUUUGAUCCUGGCUCAGGAUGAACGCUAGCGGCAGGCUUAACACAUGCAAGUCGCGGGGCAGCGGGGGAGAAGCUUGCUUCUCCCGCCGGCGACCGGCGCACGGGUGAGUAACACGUAUGCAACCUGCCCUUGUCAGGGGGACAACCCAGCGAAAGUUGGGCUAAUCCCGCGUAUAUCCCAAGGGGGCAUCCCCUUGGGAGGAAAGCUUAGGCGGACAAGGAUGGGCAUGCGGCGCAUUAGGCAGUAGGCGGGGUAACGGCCCACCUAACCGACGAUGCGUAGGGGUUCUGAGAGGAAGGCCCCCCACACUGGUACUGAGACACGGACCAGACUCCUACGGGAGGCAGCAGUGAGGAAUAUUGGUCAAUGGCCGAGAGGCUGAACCAGCCAAGCCGCGUGAGGGAAGAAGGCCCUACGGGUCGUAAACCUCUUUUGUCAGGGAACAAAAACCGGUACGUGUACCGGGUUGAGUGUACCUGAAGAAAAAGCAUCGGCUAACUCCGUGCCAGCAGCCGCGGUGAUACGGAGGAUGCGAGCGUUAUCCGGAUUUAUUGGGUUUAAAGGGUGCGUAGGCGGACUUUUAAGUCAGCGGUGAAAGCCCGGGGCUCAACCCCGGCGAGCCGUUGAAACUGGAGGUCUUGAGUUGGAGAGAGGUAAGCGGAAUGCGCAGUGUAGCGGUGAAAUGCUUAGAUAUUGCGCAGAACUCCGAUUGCGAAGGCAGCUUACUGGCUCCACACUGACGCUGAGGCACGAAAGCGUGGGUAUCGAACAGGAUUAGAUACCCUGGUAGUCCACGCAGUAAACGAUGAAUGCUGGUUGUCCGGAGGGAUUGACCUCUGGGCGGCGAAGCGAAAGCGAUAAGCAUUCCACCUGGGGAGUACGCCGGCAACGGUGAAACUCAAAGGAAUUGACGGGGGCCCGCACAAGCGGAGGAACAUGUGGUUUAAUUCGAUGAUACGCGAGGAACCUUACCCGGGCUCAAACGGCACAGGCCAGUCGCAGAGACGCGAUCUUCCUACGGGACCUGUGCCGAGGUGCUGCAUGGCUGUCGUCAGCUCGUGCCGUGAGGUGUCGGCUUAAGUGCCAUAACGAGCGCAACCCCCAUCGGCAGUUGCCAGCAGGUAAAGCUGGGGACUCUGCCGAGACUGCCGGCGCAAGCUGCGAGGAAGGCGGGGAUGACGUCAAAUCAGCACGGCCCUUACGUCCGGGGCGACACACGUGUUACAAUGGCGGCCACAGCGGGAAGCCAGGCGGCGACGCUGAGCGGAACCCGAAAAGCCGUCUCAGUUCGGAUUGGAGUCUGCAACCCGACUCCAUGAAGCUGGAUUCGCUAGUAAUCGCGCAUCAGCCACGGCGCGGUGAAUACGUUCCCGGGCCUUGCACUCACCGCCCGUCA
RNAcentral lists this ribosomal RNA (1400 nucleotides) under uncultured bacterium. Its description in RNAcentral is "16S ribosomal RNA". It matches the Rfam family "Bacterial small subunit ribosomal RNA". The record is from RNAcentral.